Long non-coding RNA from Monopterus albus (swamp eel), 1692 nucleotides. RefSeq lists it as uncharacterized. Lineage: Eukaryota; Metazoa; Chordata; Actinopteri; Synbranchiformes; Synbranchidae. The transcript has 3 exons. The record is from RefSeq and is a predicted model, not a curated record.
UUCAUCAACUUCCACCAAUGGGCAUGUUACAGCGCUUACAUCAACUGUUUUCAUUUGCUCUGAGUAUCAUGGUCUAGUAAUGUUGUAGACUCUUUAGUACUGAAUGUCAAACCAAAUCUCUGUGACACAGUCUCUAUUUGCUUUAAAGGCUCAGCUCAGCUCUUGCAAAGACCCGAGACAACCAAACCAGUGACAGGGUUUUCACAGACCGUCAGUCUAGCAGUACUACAUAAACACCGACCAGGCAUAACAUUAUGACCACACACUCCAGUCUAGAAGGUGGCGGUAAUGCACUAAAGCAGUUCGCCAACCGCCAUUAAACAACAGAAGAAGAAGAAAAUAACAAUGACCACUGACAGGUGAAGUGAAUCACACUGAUGAGCUCGUUACAUCCACCUGUCAGUGGGUGGAGUAUAUAAGGCAGCAAGACAACAGACUCUGAAGGAGGACGGACGGCCACAGCUCGCUGGUGAUGAAGGCUGUCUGUAGGUCUUGUGCUUUUAAAUUUUGAUGUGUAGCGUUCUUUGUGUAUGCAGAUGCCUAGCUAUUACUCUGAGGUAAAGCAGUUAGCGAGGCGUGUAGUUUUAGCAAAACUCUGCUAGCAAGAAGCCUUUAGAGCUGAAGACAAACCAGGCGUGUGUCCUAAUUAGCUCCAUGUGUGCUUAGCCUUCAGACAUGAUGGCGAUGAACCAGCAGAGGGAGGACAUCGCCUUUUCUUGGAACUUGCCACCAGUAAUUCGGAGACUAUUUCAACAUUUGGCAAUCUUGAACCAGAUGCCCUUCCAUGGCCAGAUGUGCAUAAAGACAGGAAUUUCAUUAUUGAAAUCAAAUAUUUACAAAGCUUUUUUUUUUCUCCAGGCUUUCCAUCCCAGCUCAGCCAGCUGCUGAACUUUUGGGUAAGAGAGGGAAAUCCCGACUGAUGGGGUCAUCAAAGCAGAGUACCUCACAUUUUCUCCAUAUAGUUACAUGACUAGUCCAAGCACAUGCAGUAAGUGUUACUCUGCUUUGCCCAAAACUUCAGUGUUUUAAUGGUACAUUGUGUGUUCUUCAAUAAAGCUAUUACAACAGAAACUUUCUGGUUCUUCUUUUAAUAUCAAGGGUAUCAGGCACUGGUUCUUCAGUGUAAAAACUAAGACCUGAACCAGUGUCAUUAAAAAGGUAACUUGGUUUUGCUUUAAUGUCAAAGCCAAGGCAGUGGUACAGUUCUUCACUGGAUUCCAGCACAAUCCACAUCUGGGAAAGUGGUCUCUCUGAAACAAAAGACAACAUUAACUCAUGUCCAGAUGUAAAUCUUUAAAUGACUGCAAAGCUGAGUUACUAUAAAAUUCAACACUGACCUCGUUAUGUACACAGAAGCUAUCAAAAAACAAGACCUACCACCUGGAUGUAAUGGUCAAACAGAACACAAAGUUCUGACUAAAGCAAUACAGGCCUUGAACUUUUGGCUUAAGGCACAACAACAAAGCUUCAUUAUCCUACAGUGACUGAAACUGUUACACUACAGUUCAUUCUGACCCUGUGUACAAACGUGGUGGAUACAAAUGCAGAGUGAAAGCACUUAUAGAGACGCUAAUAUGCACAGCUGUCUUAAAACACCUCAUAUUAAACUAGGAAGGUUGUUAGUGGAAAAGAUGGGUCAGAUUGGAACAAAGAAUGAAAUGUUAUAUACAAUUACACUGUGCUCCAUGUUAG